Molecule: ribosomal RNA, 284 nt
Filed under: uncultured archaeon
Lineage: Archaea
Description: partial 16S ribosomal RNA
Rfam family: Archaeal small subunit ribosomal RNA
Source: RNAcentral
AAACUUCGCAAUGUGCGCAAGCACGACGAGGGAAUCCUAAGUGCCCAUGCUUUGCAUAGGCUGUUCUCCUGUCUAAAUAACAGUGGUUAGCAAGGGCCGGGCAAGACCGGUGCCAGCCGCCGCGGUAACACCGGCGGCCCGAGUGGUAACCGUCUUUAUUGGGUUUAAAGGGUCCGUAGCCGGCUUAUUAAGUCUUUUGGGAAAUCUGGCGGCUCAAUCGUCAGGCGUCCAAGAGAUACUGGUAGGCUUGGGACCGGGAGAGGUGGGAGGUACUCCAGGGGUAG